CGUGGAUAUAUGAGAGAUUAUGAUUUCUUUCUCAUCCUCCAUUGUCUCUAAUCCAUUAAUCAUAACUAUGGGAUAAAAAUCAAUCCUUUUAGAUGACAUCGCGAUGAUCAGUAGCUGAUCCGCCGGAGGAGGAGGGGCUUGCUAGUUGGUGAGGUAAUAGCUUACCAAGGCGAUGAUCAGUAGCUGGUCCGAGAGGAUGAUCAGCCACACUGGGACUGAGACACGGCCCAGACUCCUACGGGAGGCAG
RNAcentral lists this non-coding RNA (248 nucleotides) under Musa acuminata subsp. malaccensis (wild Malaysian banana). RNAcentral's name for it is "Bacterial small subunit ribosomal RNA". It matches the Rfam family "Bacterial small subunit ribosomal RNA", at positions 135 to 351 of the family's 1533-position model. Lineage: Eukaryota; Viridiplantae; Streptophyta; Magnoliopsida; Zingiberales; Musaceae. The record is from Rfam by way of RNAcentral.